This 274-nucleotide ribosomal RNA is filed under the name uncultured bacterium. RNAcentral describes it as "partial 16S ribosomal RNA". It matches the Rfam family "Bacterial small subunit ribosomal RNA", at positions 523 to 796 of the family's 1533-position model. The record is from RNAcentral.
AGACGGAGGGGGCUAGCGUUAUUCGGAAUUACUGGGCGUAAAGGGCGCGUAGGCGGAUUAGUAAGUUGGGAGUGAAAGCCCGGGGCUUAACCUCGGAACUGCUUUCAAAACUGCUAGUCUUGAGUGAAGUAGGGGGUGAUGGAAUUCCUAGUGUAGAGGUGAAAUUCUUAGAUAUUAGGAGGAACACCGGUGGCGAAGGUGGUCACCUGGACUUCAACUGACGCUGAGGCGCGAAAGCGUGGGGAGCAAACAGGAUUAGAAACCCUAGUAGUCC